AGACCUCGCCUUUCAGGCAUCCUCUCCUAAACUUUCAAAGGGUCGGCCCUCGGGUCGGCCCCUUUUUUUUGCCCAC
RNAcentral lists this small RNA (76 nucleotides) under Allosphingosinicella indica. RNAcentral's name for it is "Sphingomonas sp. Dd16 Makes More Granules Regulator RNA (mmgR)". It matches the Rfam family "Makes More Granules Regulator RNA (mmgR)". From Rfam's summary of the family: SuhB later renamed mmgR (makes more granules regulator) was a putative non-coding RNA found multiple times in the Agrobacterium tumefaciens genome and related alpha-proteobacteria. Lineage: Bacteria; Pseudomonadati; Pseudomonadota; Alphaproteobacteria; Sphingomonadales; Sphingomicrobiaceae. The record is from Rfam by way of RNAcentral.